This 305-nucleotide ribosomal RNA is filed under the name uncultured bacterium. RNAcentral describes it as "bacterial SSU rRNA". It matches the Rfam family "Bacterial small subunit ribosomal RNA", at positions 333 to 637 of the family's 1533-position model. The record is from RNAcentral.
AUUAUCCUACGGGGGGCAGCAGUGGGGAAUAUUGCACAAUGGGCGCAAGCCUGAUGCAGCGACGCCGCGUGCGGGAUGGAGGCCUUCGGGUUGUAAACCGCUUUUGUUCAAGGGCAAGGCACGGUCUUUGGCCGUGUUGAGUGGAUUGUUCGAAUAAGCACCGGCUAACUACGUGCCAGCAGCCGCGGUAAUACGUAGGGUGCAAGCGUUAUCCGGAUUUAUUGGGCGUAAAGGGCUCGUAGGCGGUUCGUCGGGUCCGGUGUGAAAGUCCAUGGUUUAACGGUGGAUGCGCGCCGGGUAAGGGG